GAAAGUUACUUCGGUACAUCGGUGACAGGUGGUGCAUGGUUGUCGUCAGCUCGUGUCGUGAGAUGUUGGGUUAAGUCCCGCAACGAGCGCAACCCCUAUUGUUAGUUGCCAUCAUUCAGUUGGGCACUCUAGCGAGACUGCCGGUAAUAAACCGGAGGAAGGUGGGGAUGACGUCAAAUCAUCAUGCCCCUUAUGACCUGGGCUACACACGUGCUACAAUGGUUGGUACAACGAGUUGCGAGUCGGUGACGGCGAGCUAAUCUCUUAAAGCCAAUCUCAGUUCGGAUUGUAGGCUGCAACUCGCCUACAUGAAGUCGGAAUCGCUAGUAAUCGCGGAUCAGCACGCCGCGGUGAAUACGUUCCCGGGCCCUU
This 372-nucleotide ribosomal RNA is filed under the name uncultured Streptococcus sp. RNAcentral describes it as "bacterial SSU rRNA". It matches the Rfam family "Bacterial small subunit ribosomal RNA", at positions 1010 to 1382 of the family's 1533-position model. The record is from RNAcentral. Lineage: Bacteria; Bacillati; Bacillota; Bacilli; Lactobacillales; Streptococcaceae.